CUGAUCCUGCCCACGGUUCCAGUCAUCUAGCUUACCUUUGUUCCUGCUAUUGCCAGUCUCUAAAUUUUUCCUAACUGUCUCUUCUUCGGCUUUUCAGCUCCUCUACCACGAGGGUGACCAAGAAUCAACCAUGGUUCAGCAAGGUCCUCUGGCUCUGAUCUUUUACAAGGCUGCAAUCAAGGUGUGGACCAGCAUCAUAGAGGGACCAUGCAAAUGAGGAC
Ailuropoda melanoleuca (giant panda) is the source of this 221-nucleotide long non-coding RNA. RefSeq lists it as uncharacterized. The transcript is spliced from 3 exons. Lineage: Eukaryota; Metazoa; Chordata; Mammalia; Carnivora; Ursidae. The record is from RefSeq and is a predicted model, not a curated record.